Molecule: ribosomal RNA, 1327 nt
Filed under: uncultured fungus
Lineage: Eukaryota; Fungi
Description: eukaryotic LSU rRNA
Rfam family: Eukaryotic large subunit ribosomal RNA (bases 662-1327)
Source: RNAcentral
AAGUCGUAACAAGGUUUCCGUAGGUGAACCUGCGGAAGGAUCAUUAAUGAAACGUUUGUCGAGAAGGGUUGUUGCUGGCCUCCAGGGGCAUGUGCACGCCUUGAUCGCAUCCACCUCUCACACCUGUGCACAACCUGUAGCUUGGGAUGAUUACGGGACCCUUCACGGGGUAACGAAUGCCCUCGCUAUGAAUAUUUUACACACACUAUAAAGUUUAAUCGAAUGUAAAGUUAUAGCGUCUAAAAGCGCGAAAAAUACAACUUUCAGCAACGGAUCUCUUGGCUCUCGCAUCGAUGAAGAACGCAGCGAAAUGCGAUAAGUAAUGUGAAUUGCAGAAUUCAGUGAAUCAUCGAAUCUUUGAACGCACCUUGCGCUCCUUGGUAUUCCGAGGAGCAUGCCUGUUUGAGUGUCAUGAAAUUCUCAACUGCUCCGAGCUUUGUUGNUCGGGGUGAAGUUGGACUUGGAGGUCUUUGCUGGCGUGGGCUUCGGNUCACUUGUCGGCUCCUCUUGAAUGCAUGAGCUUUCCAGUGGAUCUUGGCAAAGUAUCGUCGAUGUGAUAAUUAUCUACGUCGGUCGAGAAAGCCUCGAGCAGGGCUCUUAGGAGCUCCUACGGGAAAUCUUUCAUAUACAUCGGGCUUCAAACACCCGUGUCUGACAAAUUCGACCUCAAAUCAGGUAGGACUACCCGCUGAACUUNANCAUANCANUAANCGGAGGAAAAGNAACUANCAAGGAUUCCCCUAGUAACUGCGAGNGAAGCGGGAAAAGCUCAAAUUUAAAAUCUGGCGUGCCUCUGNUCGUCCGAGUUGUAGUCUGGAGAAGCGUUUUNCGUGCUGGACCGUGUACAAGUCCCUUGGAACAGGGCGUCAUAGAGGGUGAGAAUCCCGUCUUUGACACGGACUACCAGUGCUUUGUGAUGCGCUCUCAAAGAGUCGAGUUGUUUGGGAAUGCAGCUCAAAAUGGGUGGUAAAUUCCAUCUAAAGCUAAAUAUAGGCGAGAGACCGAUAGCGAACAAGUACCGUGAGGGAAAGAUGAAAAGCACUUUGGAAAGAGAGUUAAACAGUACGUGAAAUUGCUGAAAGGGAAACGCUUGAAGUCAGUCGCGUCUGCCGGGACUCAGCCUUGCUUCUGCUUGGUGCAUUUUCCGGUUGACGGGCCAGCAUCGAUUUUGACCGUUGGAAAAAGGUUGAGGGAAUGUGGCACCUUCGGGUGUGUUAUAGCCCUCAGUCGUAUGCAACGGUUGGUAUCGAGGACCGCAGCACGCCUUUAUGGCCGGGGUUCGCCCACGUUCGUGCUUAGGAUGCUGGCGUAAUGGCUUUAAGCGACC